RNAcentral lists this ribosomal RNA (1089 nucleotides) under Lactiplantibacillus plantarum. RNAcentral describes it as "bacterial SSU rRNA". It matches the Rfam family "Bacterial small subunit ribosomal RNA", at positions 29 to 1082 of the family's 1533-position model. Lineage: Bacteria; Bacillati; Bacillota; Bacilli; Lactobacillales; Lactobacillaceae. The record is from RNAcentral.
ACGAACGCUGGCGGCGUGCCUAAUACAUGCAAGUCGAACGAACUCUGGUAUUGAUUGGUGCUUGCAUCAUGAUUUACAUUUGAGUGAGUGGCGAACUGGUGAGUAACACGUGGGAAACCUGCCCAGAAGCGGGGGAUAACACCUGGAAACAGAUGCUAAUACCGCAUAACAACUUGGACCGCAUGGUCCGAGCUUGAAAGAUGGCUUCGGCUAUCACUUUUGGAUGGUCCCGCGGCGUAUUAGCUAGAUGGUGGGGUAACGGCUCACCAUGGCAAUGAUACGUAGCCGACCUGAGAGGGUAAUCGGCCACAUUGGGACUGAGACACGGCCCAAACUCCUACGGGAGGCAGCAGUAGGGAAUCUUCCACAAUGGACGAAAGUCUGAUGGAGCAACGCCGCGUGAGUGAAGAAGGGUUUCGGCUCGUAAAACUCUGUUGUUAAAGAAGAACAUAUCUGAGAGUAACUGUUCAGGUAUUGACGGUAUUUAACCAGAAAGCCACGGCUAACUACGUGCCAGCAGCCGCGGUAAUACGUAGGUGGCAAGCGUUGUCCGGAUUUAUUGGGCGUAAAGCGAGCGCAGGCGGUUUUUUAAGUCUGAUGUGAAAGCCUUCGGCUCAACCGAAGAAGUGCAUCGGAAACUGGGAAACUUGAGUGCAGAAGAGGACAGUGGAACUCCAUGUGUAGCGGUGAAAUGCGUAGAUAUAUGGAAGAACACCAGUGGCGAAGGCGGCUGUCUGGUCUGUAACUGACGCUGAGGCUCGAAAGUAUGGGUAGCAAACAGGAUUAGAUACCCUGGUAGUCCAUACCGUAAACGAUGAAUGCUAAGUGUUGGAGGGUUUCCGCCCUUCAGUGCUGCAGCUAACGCAUUAAGCAUUCCGCCUGGGGAGUACGGCCGCAAGGCUGAAACUCAAAGGAAUUGACGGGGGCCCGCACAAGCGGUGGAGCAUGUGGUUUAAUUCGAAGCUACGCGAAGAACCUUACCAGGUCUUGACAUACUAUGCAAAUCUAAGAGAUUAGACGUUCCCUUCGGGGACAUGGAUACAGGUGGUGCAUGGUUGUCGUCAGCUCGUGUCGUGAGAUGUUGGUUAA